Acanthosepion pharaonis is the source of this 113-nucleotide non-coding RNA. Lineage: Eukaryota; Metazoa; Mollusca; Cephalopoda; Sepiida; Sepiidae. The record is from the annotation of a GenBank genome assembly.
UACGGUCAUAUCACAUUGAAAAACCAGUUCUCAUACGAUCAUUAAAGUUAAGCAAUGUUGAGCCUGGUCAGUAUGUAGAUGGGUGAGCACUUAGAAAUGCCAAGUGCUGUAAG